Molecule: ribosomal RNA, 161 nt
Filed under: uncultured bacterium
Lineage: Bacteria
Description: partial 16S ribosomal RNA
Rfam family: Bacterial small subunit ribosomal RNA
Source: RNAcentral
UGGGGAAUCUUGCGCAAUGGGCGAAAGCCUGACGCAGCGACGCCGCGUGCGGGAAGAAGGCCUUCGGGUUGUAAACCGCUUUCAGGAGGGACGCGGUACCUCCAGAAGAAGCCCCGGCUAACUACGUGCCGGCAGCCGCGGUAAUUCCGGUUACUCUACGG